CUACGUGCCAGCAGCCGCGGUAAUACGGAGGAUGCGAGCGUUAUCCGGAUUUAUUGGGUUUAAAGGGUGCGUAGGCGGCCUGUUAAGUCAGCGGUGAAAUCUAGGAGCUUAACUCCUAAAUUGCCGUUGAUACUGGCGGGCUUGAGUGUAGAUGAGGUAGGCGGAAUGCGUGGUGUAGCGGUGGAAUGCAUAGAUAUCACGCAGAACUCCAAUUGCGAAGGCAGCUUACUAAGGUACAACUGACGCUGAAGCACGAAAGCGUGGGUAUCAAACAGGAUUAGAUACCCUGGUAGUCCACGCAGUAAACGAUGAUAACUGGGCGUAUGCGAUAUACAGUAUGCUCCUAAGCGAAAGCGUUAAGUUAUCCACCUGGGGAGUACGCCGGCAACGGUGAAACUCAAAGGAAUUGACGGGGACCCGCACAAGCGGUGGAUGAUGUGGAUUAAUUCGAUGCAACGCGAAGAACCUUACCUGGUCUUGACAU
RNAcentral lists this ribosomal RNA (484 nucleotides) under uncultured bacterium. Its description in RNAcentral is "bacterial SSU rRNA". It matches the Rfam family "Bacterial small subunit ribosomal RNA", at positions 501 to 987 of the family's 1533-position model. The record is from RNAcentral.